GAUUUCUUCACAAACAGGUCUUAAACGUGUAGUUGAUGAGCAUUUACUUUCACCUGUGACAAAAAGAGAAUGUAGCACUAGUUGUACUGAACUCCAACUUUCUGGUGUAGCUUAAAUUACAGAGCAUUUAUGUUCGCCUUUUUCCUAUCCACUUCUUUUUGAAAGUAAUACCAAACUCCUGCUGCUUUCUGCUGUGGCACUGUAGCUUAUCACUGACUAAAUCAGAUGUUCAUGGUGGUCUGUAAUGAUUUUGAAAUUUAUGUGGUCAAUGGUCAGACCUUAACCUCGUUUGAUCUGCAGCAAUAAGUUUUACGUAGAUAGGCUGCUUGGUUGCCAUUGAUGGUCAAUAUACUGCAAGUAACAUACAGUUAACUCUUUCUACUAUUAGCUUUGAUAUGCUAGUCAAUUGGACCUUUAAAUCUCCUCCAUAUGGUUCAAAUUCCUCCAUCAAGUCUUAACUACUACCAAUUAAUAACUUGUGAUACCGGGGGUAUUUGGAUUAACGACACAUGGAUAGGGUGUUAAUUGAGGAAAUAAGGUAAUACAGAAGCUGGGGUUACCUAUACAACUACUUUGGGAUACUUUGAUGAAGUAUGAGAAAGGCUACAACUGCUUUCGAGUGUUUUAGACAAUGCUGGAGAGGGAUCCGACUGCCUCUUUUGCAAGACAAGAAGGGCCAAAGGAUACUUUCACUUGGCACUCCGAUGCUUAAGUUAGUAUAGGAUAGAAAGGUAAAGGACAAUGAGACUAAAUGAGUAAAGGGGUUCAAGAAUGUUUUAACUAGGGUAAUAAAUGCCUAUAUAUAUUAUGAGAAAUCCAAUAACAAAUUAACGCAUUGAGGUCUAUUGCCAAGUGAGACUAUUUUAUUUAGUUAGAUCUCUGCCAAAGGACCCAAAAUGUCAUAUCGCAGGGUAAUGAUGGCUCUGACAAACCUGAAAUGGCGGUUAUAGGUAGUUUAUGGGUAUAGGUAUGUUAGGAUAGGUGAAAAGAUGAAGUCAACCUGCAAAUAAGGGGUAAAUAGUCCAAGUGGUGAGUGAUACAAGUGGUUGAAUUGUCUAAGUUGCUCAUGCUUUUGGCAUAGAUGUUAUCAUAUGUUGAGUAUGUAUUUCAAAUACUCGGAAUUAGAUUCACUUAGUAGGUAGGCUGAGUCAGUCAUGAGUCAAUAGGUAAUAGUGGUCGGCUUUGUGAUUGGAAGAGUCUGUAGGACGACUGGUUACAGUAUGGGGGUUAUCUAACUUGUUGUACUGGGGUUCUUCUCGAUGUGUUAUGAGCUCCGAUGUGCUUAAUAUUAAAUAAAUACAUAUAGCCCGUACUGAGUUUAAUAUAUUAUAUCUCUUCAGGGUAUCCGAGUGAUAAUGUAUAAUAUGGCUUCUUAAGGAACACGUGGUACCAAUCUAAGUAGUCGGAUAAUUUAUAUUGUAUCACCAACAUUGGCAUUUGUCAGGUGUUCUUUUGGCAGAAUUUAUAGUCUAAAUUUGCCUUUUUCUUAGUAAUCACAUUCUUUUGAUGAGAAUGUCGAAAUGCUGAUUGUUCAUCUUUCUUUGGGAUAUCUACUGAAUUCCCUCUUUUUUUUUAGCUUGAUUUCAAGAAUUUUUAAACAAUGCAACAGACAUGAUGCCAAUUAGAAGUACACAAAUGGGGCGUAUGAUUCUAUACUCUCCAAAAUCCAGUUCUUUGAAACUUACAUUGCUAGGUAUUCAUUCUCAAAGGAAACAAGUUCGAUUAUCCAUGUCAUGCGCAUGCCAGGAAAAUUCUCAAAGAUAACCUUUUUCUGGUACUUUAGUGAAUGAUUUUUAUGUGAAGCUUGCUAUGCAUGAUAUCAAUCAGCUUGAUGCAACUGUAGUUUAAAACUUUAAAUUGGCUGUUCUUUUUAUGGAGUUAUCUAUCAGGCCUUCAACUUAACAUUUCCAUUUCUUUAAAUCAAUUGUCAGGAUAUCUCAACAAUCCCCAGG
Molecule: unclassified non-coding RNA, 1952 nt
Filed under: Hevea brasiliensis (rubber tree)
Lineage: Eukaryota; Viridiplantae; Streptophyta; Magnoliopsida; Malpighiales; Euphorbiaceae
Source: RNAcentral